Homo sapiens (human) is the source of this 476-nucleotide long non-coding RNA. Ensembl annotates it as TBX2 antisense RNA 1. Its record names the gene TBX2-AS1. Lineage: Eukaryota; Metazoa; Chordata; Mammalia; Primates; Hominidae. The record is from Ensembl.
AGAGCAAGUCCAAACCCACUCCUAAGAAGCCGGUGCUGCUGAGCUGCCUACCCCUGCUCCUACAGCAAGUUGCCACGCUGGCUCCCACCGGCCUCUUUCCAGAUCAUGAAGGUAUUUUUCCUUCAUCAAAUUGAGAGGAAGUCCGUAGUAAAGCUGCCCGUUGACCAGGUAGUGCCGAGAGAAUCGGUGCCCUGGCAGGAGGGACUGGCUUAUGCCACCCUGUGCAGGAUCGUCUUCUCAGCUUACAGAGCCUAGUGUGAUUCAACAACCCUCCAUCUCUGCCCCCAACAUGCCCAACUGAUCUGGUGGAGGGAACUGAAGAUGAAGGCCUCUCAGGCACCAUGGAUGGGAUGGGUGUGUGUGAAGGGGGCAGGGUCCCCAGGAGCUGCCCCAGGUCUGGCUGGACAGUUGCACGGGAAGUCCUGUUUGUGAACUCAACGUUUCCACGGCUUUUCCAUUAAACUUUACCCCAAAUC